This 1212-nucleotide long non-coding RNA is filed under the name Equus asinus (donkey). RNAcentral's name for it is "lncRNA (ENSEASG00005025002.1)". The record is from RNAcentral. Lineage: Eukaryota; Metazoa; Chordata; Mammalia; Perissodactyla; Equidae.
CAGCAAGAAGCAAAUCAUGUUUAACUGUCACCCUGACAGGGGUGGUUGGGACAUUGGCUAAGGGUGAGAAGUCAUCGAAUCACACAAGUAAAAAUUCUGUCUUACUAGAAAAACCAUUGAUAAAAAUAUUUAUGUGUUGGAAUGAAAGGACUUCAUCAACUCCUAGAGUUAGUGAUAAUUAAACACGUUGUUUGGAGAGCGAGAUGGAUGAAUUGGGCAAUUUUUCCCAGGUUUGCCAGAAAAGAGAAUCAAGGGCACGCAACUGCUGACAGAGUUUAACCUUUAAAUCCAACUUUAUUUACUCUCACUUAGCUAAAGACAAAGCAGUUUACACACUGUAUAUGGAGAAUACAUGUUAAUUGGUGGAUCGCUGACAACAAAUACUUACAGACUUUGCAGUUUGUAGUUACGUGUGCGGACAAGCAUCCCACGGACAGACCCGGAGAGGGGUGGAGAUGAGGUGAGGGCGGAAGAGCAUGGAAACUCAACCUCUGCAGGUUUCCACUCAUGCCACUUCCUUCUGAUCUGUGAAAUUCUAUCUUCUCCAUUAUCGUCCAAGAGACUGUUGUGCAAACGCCCCGCACCUGAAAGCCGUGUUGGACGAGAACUGUGGUAGAGGUUUCAGAUCUCAGGGCUAGAUAUGGCAGCACUCCUCCACGAAACAAAAGGAGACAGCAUCUCCCCAACUCCAGGGCUUCAUUAAAGGAGACCAAACACUUGCCACAGGCACCAAACUCGUGAGCAGGAUGCAGUACAGGAGGAAGGGAGUGUUUAUUCGUGCACAUACGCAGCCUCUGUCCUAAAUCAGGGCCAAGUGGGUGAUGGUAAACCCGAGUAAUGCAGUGUUUCUCUGAUGCAAUCCUGCCUCCUCAACAAUGUCAGUGAGCCACUUACAAGUUAUGGUGAAAACCAAUAUUUUUAAAAACUAAAUUUAGUGUCUAUCGUUGGCCUGAAAGGUCCAGAGGAUACUGGUGUUGGUGGGGAUGGUUCUAAUUCCUAUGUUCCUGAAAGUCUACCGACUUUUGGCCAUGCCUGGGAUCUGCCUUACACUCAUGGAGAAUGUCAGGCAAGUUGCUUAAUCAUUCAGGUUUGGGAGGCGGUGGGCAGUUUCUCGACUGGUGAAAUGAGGUGGACGAUAUAGCUUAUCUCCAAGACAGUGAUUCUUAACAUGCUGAAGAUUAAGACAACUUUGAGAAUCUGAUGAAAACUGUA